UUUAGACUUAGUUUGAGUUAUUUAUGAUUAUUAGAAAGUAAUUUUAUUGCUUAAAAUAUUGAUUUAUACUUGUGCUAUACUUAGUUCCAUACACAUUUCCUAAGUUACUUCAUGUAAUACAUGUAAUUUCCUUUUCAUAGGUGAAGAAGGUAGAUCUUGGAACUAGGCUUUGAUCACAGAGCAGAGCCUUUUGGACAAGUAUGUCUAUGCAUGGAAAAAAUAUGAAUAGUAGACUCACCUCAAAUGAAUUCCCAGGGAUGCUUCAAAUCUCCAUGAGAGAAUAGAAAUAAUGAUGUAGAAGAAUAUAGAACAAAGUCAUAUGGCUGUUCUAGAGAGAGAAGAGUUACUUUGAAGUGACUAAGAAAGCUAUCAUAAAGAAGAUGCCCUUUGGAUUGGCCCCUGAAUGACUGGAGAAGGAGAUUUGCAGUUGAAAAACGAGCUUAGGUGCAGAAGGAAGAAG
Molecule: long non-coding RNA, 460 nt
Filed under: Macaca mulatta (Rhesus monkey)
Lineage: Eukaryota; Metazoa; Chordata; Mammalia; Primates; Cercopithecidae
Description: lncRNA (ENSMMUG00000062122.1)
Source: RNAcentral